GACGAACGCUGGCGGCGUGCCUAAUACAUGCAAGUUGAGCGCUGAAGGUUGGUACUUGUACCAACUGGAUGAGCAGCGAACGGGUGAGUAACGCGUGGGGAAUCUGCCUUUGAGCGGGGGACAACAUUUGGAAACGAAUGCUAAUACCGCAUAAAAACUUUAAACACAAGUUUUAAGUUUGAAAGAUGCAAUUGCAUCACUCAAAGAUGAUCCCGCGUUGUAUUAGCUAGUUGGUGAGGUAAAGGCUCACCAAGGCGAUGAUACAUAGCCGACCUGAGAGGGUGAUCGGCCACAUUGGGACUGAGACACGGCCCAAACUCCUACGGGAGGCAGCAGUAGGGAAUCUUCGGCAAUGGACGAAAGUCUGACCGAGCAACGCCGCGUGAGUGAAGAAGGUUUUCGGAUCGUAAAACUCUGUUGGUAGAGAAGAACGUUGGUGAGAGUGGAAAGCUCAUUAAGUGACGGUAACUACCCAGAAAGGGACGGCUAACUACGU
Molecule: ribosomal RNA, 496 nt
Filed under: uncultured bacterium
Lineage: Bacteria
Description: partial 16S ribosomal RNA
Rfam family: Bacterial small subunit ribosomal RNA
Source: RNAcentral